CGGGGAGGUAGUGACGAAAAAUAACGAUACGGGACUCAUCCGAGGCCCCGUAAUCGGAAUGAGUACACUUUAAAUCCUUUAACGAGGACCAAUUGGAGGGCAAGUCUGGUGCCAGCAGCCGCGGUAAUUCCAGCUCCAAUAGCGUAUAUUAAAGUUGCUGCGGUUAAAAAGCUCGUAGUUGAAUCUGUGUGUCACAGUGUCGGUUCACCGCUCGCGGUGUUUAACUGGCAUAAUGUGGCACGUCCUACCGGUGGGCUUAGCUCCUCGCGGGCGGUCCAACCAAUAUCCCAUCGCGGUGCUCUUCACUGAGUGUCGUGGUGGGCCGGUACGUUUACUUUGAACAAAUUAGAGUGCUCAAAGCAGGCCAUCUUCGCCUGAAUACUGCGUGCAUGGAAUAAUGGAAUAGGACCUCGGUUCUAUUUUGUUGGUUUUCGGAACCCCAAGGUAAUGAUUAAUAGGGACAGAUGGGGGCAUUCGUAUUGCGACGUUAGAGGUGAAAUUCUUGGAUCGUCGCAAGACGUACAGAAGCGAAAGCAUUUGCCAAAAAUGUUUUCAUUAAUCAAGAACGAAAGUUAGAGGUUCGAAGGCGAUCAGAUACCGCCCUAGUUCUAACCAUAAACGAUGCCAGCUGGCGAUCCGCCGGUGUUCCUUAGAUGACUCGGCGGGCAGCUUCCGGGAAACCAAAGCUUUUGGGUUCCGGGGGAAGUAUGGUUGCAAAGCUGAAACUUAAAGGAAUUGACGGAAGGGCACCACCAGGAGUGGAGCCUGCGGCUUAAUUUGACUC
RNAcentral lists this ribosomal RNA (784 nucleotides) under Coelioxoides sp. JS-2010. RNAcentral describes it as "SSU rRNA". It matches the Rfam family "Eukaryotic small subunit ribosomal RNA", at positions 457 to 1201 of the family's 1831-position model. Lineage: Eukaryota; Metazoa; Arthropoda; Insecta; Hymenoptera; Apidae. The record is from RNAcentral.